GCGAACGCUGGCGGCAGGCCUAAUACAUGCAAGUCGAACGGUCCUUCGGGACAGUGGCGGACGGGUGAGUAACGCGUGGGAACGUGCCCUUUGGUACGGAACAACUGAGGGAAACUUCAGCUAAUACCGUAUGUGCCCUUCGGGGGAAAGAUUUAUCGCCAUUGGAGCGGCCCGCGUUAGAUUAGCUAGUUGGUGGGGUAAAGGCCUACCAAGGCAACGAUCUAUAGCUGGUCUGAGAGGAUGAUCAGCCACACUGGGACUGAGACACGGCCCAGACUCCUACGGGAGGCAGCAGUAGGGAAUCUUGCGCAAUGGGCGAAAGCCUGACGCAGCCAUGCCGCGUGAAUGAUGAAGGUCUUAGGAUUGUAAAAUUCUUUCACCGGGGACGAUAAUGACGGUACCCGGAGAAGAAGCCCCGGCUAACUUCGU
This 429-nucleotide ribosomal RNA is filed under the name uncultured bacterium. RNAcentral describes it as "bacterial SSU rRNA". It matches the Rfam family "Bacterial small subunit ribosomal RNA", at positions 29 to 506 of the family's 1533-position model. The record is from RNAcentral.